Molecule: ribosomal RNA, 220 nt
Filed under: uncultured bacterium
Lineage: Bacteria
Description: partial 16S ribosomal RNA
Rfam family: Bacterial small subunit ribosomal RNA
Source: RNAcentral
UAAUGUCUGGGAAACUGCCUGAUGAGGGGGGAUAACUACUGGAAACGGUAGCUAAUACCGCAUAAUGUCGCAAGACCAAAGUGGGGGACCUUCGGGCCUCAUGCCAUCAGAUGUGCCCAGAUGGGAUUAGCUAGUAGGUGGGGUAACGGCUCACCUAGGCGACGAUCCCUAGCUGGUCUGAGAGGAUGACCAGCCACACUGGAACUGAGACACGGUCCAG